UACCAUUUCUCCAAGUGAAGACUCAAAGCAUAGCAUCCAAAUAAAAGGAAGGAUUGUAUACAGCCUUGCUGUGUGGGCAGAAGGCUGGAUGGGCACCAGGUCUGCAUUAAUCUCAGCCUGGGCUAAAUGUCUAUGGGUUGGGACCUCAGCCUUGCCCUUCUAUGUGCUGUUAUCACAUCCCACAGUGCCCUCAAGAAUGAAGCACCCCUGCGGGCAUUCUCCAUGUUCCUCUAAACUAUGCUUGACCGCAAGGCUGAAGCUCAACUCAUCCAGCCAGCUCCAGUGUGCCACCUACAAACAACAGGAUAUAGUAGACUUGUAGACAUUUGUAGGCCUUGGUAGUCUGGCCAGGUUCUGGAAUCUGUACUGGUACAUGUGGAAAAACAGCCUCCAGAAAAACAGGGUGAAUGCAGCCUGAUGCCAAGCAGCAGCCAUGAAUUAAGAGAUCCACCCUGAUGCUCUUCAUUGCACAUGCUGAGGACACAAGAGCCAUGCCCAGCCAACUGGCAACUACAUAAGCCUUUACUGUUGCCAGUGCCUGUAUUCUGGGGUGGAUUAUAUGCAGUACAGGAUGAGGGGUAUGAGCCCCUGAGUGCUGUGAGGAUACAGGACUCAGCCGGAACAAGGUAAAGAACAAUAACACAAAAUUUCUCUGCUGACAAGGAUGUGUGAGACUUGGUACUUCUCUCGGUCAGCCAUGCCCAGGAAUAUCUUCUACAGAUUGGACCCCAUAAGUAGCUAAUUUUAGUUGUCUCUUGCUUGCUACAGAUCAAAGCCCUCCUUACUACCAACUAGCCAGUUCUGGCAUCGAUCACCCAAAAAUGGAAUCACAGCUGCCCAGAUUCACUGUCUCACUCUGUCCUCUCCAGAUGUCCCCUAGUAGCUUCCUACCAUCACUUCGGCCUGGUGUUUGAUCCAAUGGUGACUACAUACAAGGAGGUCCCUGUCACAUUCUGUACAUCUUUGUCUUGAUUCUGAAACAAAAAGGCUACAAAUAACAGGAACCCACAGUUUACAAAACCUGAACAGGACCCCACCUUGAUGUCUAUGUUGGAUCAGGAAAUGCUGUCAAGCAUAAUGCAGUGACUGCAGAAGGAGCUUCUAAAAAUGUCCUGGGUGAAUGAGCCUGGCUCUCCAAAUUGUGAGCUCUUCUGCUGUCCUGCUGAUGGACUCAGCCUUUCCUACAGCCUCUAGCUGUUUGUGAGAAAUGGAUGAGCUGGGAGCAAACUCAGAGCUGUCUGGGAGGGAGUCUCUCUGAAGGAACUAUAGGAAAGCUUUUUUGAGUGCUUUCACUUCUUUUUACUGACUGGCUGGGGGAGAUGAGCAAGUCCCCAGGGAUUUUUUCCAAUGGGCACAAAAGCACCUUCCUUGAAUAUGCACCACUCACUCCUUGAAAAGUGUCAGCAAAGGAAAACAUAUAACAAAGUCAGCUCAGGGAGAACAGACAUGUCCUAUCUCCAGUGGAGAAAAAGCAAAAAUCUUAACUCAAACCUCCCAUGUUAAAGCUGAAAUGUGACUUUAGAAACUUUAGUCAUGUAAAGGGAAAUGGAAGUGGUGGACAUGAGAGGCAGUAUGGGAAAGGUAGUUUGUAGUGGCAUGCCAAUAUAGAGAAAGGCAGCUUGGGAAAUGAAGUC
This is a non-coding RNA of Peromyscus maniculatus bairdii (prairie deer mouse), 1634 nucleotides long. NCBI's taxonomy places the organism in Eukaryota, Metazoa, Chordata, Mammalia, Rodentia, Cricetidae. The record is from RefSeq and is a predicted model, not a curated record.